Molecule: long non-coding RNA, 967 nt
Organism: Odocoileus virginianus texanus
Lineage: Eukaryota; Metazoa; Chordata; Mammalia; Artiodactyla; Cervidae
Source: RefSeq, a predicted model, not a curated record
UCAGUUCCGCAGAGAUCAGAAGGACUAAAAACUGGGGAGGACCCAUUCAGAGAAGAAGAUUGAAUGGAUGUUUGAAGGACUUCACCCUACACAAGGAGAGAAGAAAAGAAGGAACUGGAGAUGUAUUGAGUGCCUCCUGUAUGCCAGAGUGGUCUGCCCACUGUACUUACACUAUCUUAAGCCUACCAUUGCAGCGGAGCCACCCGGAGAAGAGCAGUCCACUUAAGAUCCGGCCCAGCAUGAGCAGAGUACGCACAGAGAAGACUUGACCCAGCCACACCCAGCCUAGUCCACCCAGCCUUAGUUACCCUGCAGACCCGUGAGUCUUCUGGGCUCCGAGAAUCGAUUUGAAGACACAGAUGCUCCUGGGAGGCUGCUGAUUUCCACUUGACCAUCAGUCCAUCGACCUGUCCAUCCACCACCCACUGAAGGGAAACAGAAAUGAAUACGUCGAGGAACCCACCUGCCCUCAGGAAACCCGGCAGCUAGGAGGGAAGAACAGGAGGACUUCCUGGGCAGCCUCUUUUUGGGACAGCUUGGCCUUUUACAAAACUCUUCCUUCUAUUGACCCACAAUCAUCCUUUUGUCUCUCCCACCAUGGAGUCGGCAUCAUCUCCUGAGUCCAUACAGAUUAUCCCAAUAAACUGACAGCUGCCUGCAGACAGUAAUCACACUCCUCACUCCCCUGUCCUCUGUCAGCCUCUAGCCAGAGCAGCCUUAGGUCCUGCUGUCUCCACUUGACAGGGUUUGCAUCCCUUGCCCACCAAGAGCUCCGGGCCUGGCUGGAUCAAGUCUUCCUCCUGACCUCUUUCUGCUCCCUUGGCUGGCACAUCCUGGAGCUAGAACAACACUGAGCUCACAGCAGAAAAGGAUGGAAAUGCUCUUUCAGCAAGAUGACAGCAGGAAAGAUUCCCCUGACUUUUGAUGGAGCCAGGCCACAUGGAUGAAAUCUUCUACCCCUCCCUUU